This is a long non-coding RNA of Asparagus officinalis (garden asparagus), 319 nucleotides long. RefSeq lists it as uncharacterized. Lineage: Eukaryota; Viridiplantae; Streptophyta; Magnoliopsida; Asparagales; Asparagaceae. The record is from RefSeq and is a predicted model, not a curated record. The transcript is spliced from 2 exons.
GAAAUUCCGCUUGCUGCUGUUAAUUCCAGUUACCAAAACAAGGGUGUUGCUCAUCUCAUGUACAAAGAACUGAAAGAAAGACUUCAAAAUGUGGGUAUUUAAACAAUACUUUAGUGAGCAGAUAAGGUGACAGAAGGUUUUUGGUUUAAACAGGUAAUAUGGGACAGCAUGAUUGAUUAUUCUUGACAUAGUACCAUUGUAGUAUUUUGGUUGAAUAUGCUUCCAGAAUUUGCAGAUUUCACUCUUAAAUUCCAUGUAUGGCAACUACGAUAAGCAUGCUUGCAAUUGUCAUUAAUGCCACAAAUUUUCAUUCAACUCA